CCCUUAGAUGUUCUGGGCCGCACGCGCGCUACACUGUUCGACGCAGCGAGUCUUAACCUUGACCGAAAGGUUUGGGUAAUCUUCAGCAAAGUCGAACGUGAUGGGGAUCGAUCAUUGCAAUUAUUGAUCGUGAACGAGGAAUUCCAAGUAAGUGCAAGUCAUCAGCUUGCGCUGAUUACGUCCCUGCCCUUUGUACACACCGCCCGUCGCUACUACCGAUUGAAUGGUUUAGUGAGAUCUCUGGAUUGACGCUGGCUAGGGGGCGACCCUUGGCCAGACUGUUGAGAAACUGCUCAAACUUGAUCAUUUAGAGGAAGUAAAAGUCGUAACA
This 331-nucleotide ribosomal RNA is filed under the name uncultured eukaryote. RNAcentral's name for it is "partial 18S ribosomal RNA". It matches the Rfam family "Eukaryotic small subunit ribosomal RNA", at positions 1470 to 1796 of the family's 1831-position model. The record is from RNAcentral.